AUGGUGGGGGCGGUACGCGUGCGACCCCCCCUUUUCCUCCCGCCGUCCCCCCGCUCCCCAGCUCCGUCGGGGGUCGCGAGAAGAGGGAUGGGGAGAGUGGGUUGGUCUGGAGACCCUGACGACGGACUGAACCUCACACGCCCACCACCGGGCAGGGGUGGAGGGGUGGAAGGGGGUGACCAAGCCAUACCUGACACCCCACCCCUCAUCAACCCGACCUGCCGGAAGAGUCAGAAGGUCACAGGUUCUAAUUCCAGCUCCACUUUUCUGGUGUCUGACCUUGGACAAUUCAGUUCAUUUCUCUAGGCCUCAGUUACCUCAUCUGUAAAAUGGGGAUGGAGACCGUGAGCCCCACAUGGGACAGGGACUGUAUCCAACCCAAUUCACUUGUAUCCACCCCAGCGCUUAGUACAGUGUCUGGCACAUAGUAAGCACUUAAUAAAUACCACGAUGAUUAUUACUAAUAUUAUCUGGGAGAGGCGGAGAGAGGAGUCGGUCUGAGCCAGGGCCUGAUCGACAGUGGAGGGCAGCAUAUUCCAUUUAAUCCAGUUGAAACCAGUAGCGUUUACUGGGUGCCUACUGGGAGCAGAACAAUGUGGUGGGCGCUUGGGGGAGAGAAAAUAAUAGGCGUAACAGUUCUUGCCCUUGAAGGUUUUUACAAUCCUUGGACGUGUCUACAGAUUCUGUUAUAUUGUUAUAUCGUCCUCUCCCAUACGCUUAAUCCAGUGCUCUGCACACAGGAAGCAUUCAAUAAAUACGAUUGAUCGAUCGAUUGAUUGAUUGACCCCGACUGAGGCGGGGGCAGGAGGAAAGCUUACAGAUGGUAUCGACGAUGGCAAUAAAUCAAAGUCGACCAUGAGCAUGGAUUCGCACCCUUUAUUCAGCCCUCCUUCAGGCCCACAGCACUUAGGUACAAAUGUGUAAUAUAUUUAUUUCAUGAUGAUAUUUGUUAAGCGCUUACUAUGUGCCCAGCACUGUUCUUGUAUUAAUGUCUGUCUCCCCCUCUAGGCUGUAAAUUCGUUGUAGGCAGGGAACGUGUCUACCAACUCUGUUAUAGUGUACUCUCCCAAGCGCUUAGUACAGUGCUCUGCACACAGUAAGCGCUCAAUAAAUACGCCUGAUCGAUUGGCUGCAUCCGUAAACCAAUAUAUUUAAAAAUCGAUGCAACAGCGAUUCAGGCAAAGCGACCUAACUCAUCUGUUGAUAGGCUAGGUAAAUUAGGGGGGUCUGGGCGGCGCAAUGGCCUCAGAAGGGGGCUGUAUUUGCGCUCCCCCCACAGAGAGGACCUCUUACCCCCGCUCCCCACUGUCCCCCACCCCCCACUGGGAUCCUGCCUUGGGUGCCCCCGUCCCCCUCCCCUUUGUGAGGUGCCCAUAAGGAAGUUGGGGACGGAGACGGGCUUGGGAGUCAGAGGACGUGAGUUCUAAUCUCCGCCAUUUGUCUGCUGUGUGACCUUGGGCAAGCCGCCUCACUUCUCUGUGCCUCAGUUCCCUCAUCUGUAAAGUGGGGAUUAAGACUGUGAGCCCCACCGGGGACAACCUGAUUACCUUGUAACUACCCCAUCGCUUAGAACGGUGCUUGGCAUAUAGUAACAGCUUAACAAAUACCAUAAUUAUGAUUAGUGGGGUGGGGGGCGUCAAAGUCACCACAGUUUCCCGCCCCCCACCCACCCGCGGACAUUCCCCUGCGGACAUUCCCCCACUGGAUGAAAGGGAAAGAGAGGAGGG
Molecule: long non-coding RNA, 1727 nt
Filed under: Ornithorhynchus anatinus (platypus)
Lineage: Eukaryota; Metazoa; Chordata; Mammalia; Monotremata; Ornithorhynchidae
Description: lncRNA (ENSOANG00000040086.1)
Source: RNAcentral